UGGGUAACCUGCCCGGAAGUGGGGAAUACCUCGGGGAAACUCGAGCUAAUACCGCAUGACAUCUUCGGGACGAAAGUCCUGACGAUCAAAGCGGGGUCGCAAGAUCUCGCGCUACCGGAUGGGCCCGCGCCCGAUUAGCUAGUUGGUGAGGUAACGGCUCACCAAGGCUUCGAUCGGUAACCGGCCUGAGAGGGCGAUCGGUCACACCGGAACUGAGACACGGUCCGGACUCCUACGGGAGGCAG
This 245-nucleotide ribosomal RNA is filed under the name uncultured bacterium. Its description in RNAcentral is "partial 16S ribosomal RNA". It matches the Rfam family "Bacterial small subunit ribosomal RNA", at positions 118 to 351 of the family's 1533-position model. The record is from RNAcentral.